RNAcentral lists this ribosomal RNA (465 nucleotides) under uncultured bacterium. Its description in RNAcentral is "partial 16S ribosomal RNA". It matches the Rfam family "Bacterial small subunit ribosomal RNA", at positions 338 to 795 of the family's 1533-position model. The record is from RNAcentral.
CCUACGGGUGGCAGCAGUCGAGAAUCUUGCGCAAUGGGCGAAAGCCUGACGCUGCGACGCCGCGUGAGGGAUUGAGGUCUUCGGAUCGUAAACCUCUGUCCACAGGGAAGAACGGUCACUGUGCUAAUCAGCAGUGAAUUGACGGUACCUGCAAAGGAAGCACCGGCUAACUCCGUCCCAGCAGCCGCGGUAAUACGGAGGGUACGAGCGUUAAUCGGAAUUACUGGGCGUAAAGCGUUCGUAGGCGGUAUGGUAAGUCAAGGGUGAAAUCCCCGCGCUCAACGUGGGAACGGCCUUUGAAACUGGCAAACUGGAGUGUGGGAGAGGAUAGUGGAAUUCCAGGUGUAGGAGUGAAAUGCGUAGAUAUCUGGAGGAACAUCAGUGGCGAAGGCGAGUAUCUGGCAAAUAACUGACGCUGAGGAGCGAAAGCGUGGGGAGCAAAAAGGAUUAGAUACCCUUGUAGUC